CAGGCCUGCUGACUUUUCACUAUUUAUCUUGCAGUGACCCCUUUAAUUAAAAGUAAUUAUUUCACUUAAUGCACAACUAUUUUUUUUCAUAUUAUAUGUACAAACUGUAAAUCCAAAAUAAUAUAUGUAAAAAAAUGUCAAGAUACAAGGAAGUCAGUCAUAUUUUUUAAUAACAAUUUCAAUAUUGAUUCAAAGGUACUUUGUAGUACACUUACACAAUGAUUAUCAAUGGCAUAAAAAGAAAGACUUUUUUUGUCAUUUUUUCCCCCCCACACAAACCACACAACCCUUCUCCUCUUGGACUCCACAGCACUGCUGCAUGGUGGUCACAUUUUCUGAAAGGUACCAAAAUACAUGUGUUAUAGCCCAGUGAAAAAACCAAACAAACCAUAUGUGACCCAUAUGUGCAAGUUAAAUACUGCUCUGUGCAUUUUUUCCAUGUUGAACUGGCUACUCAGGCUGUCUCUUGGUGCCCAGCUGGUGGGCGUUUGACUACAGUGAGUCAAACUGGUGACUUUUAAAAAUCGACCAGUUAAUGCCAAAGUACUGUGGCAGCACAGUGUUUCUGCCGAGAGGAGAUAUGCACAACAAAAACGUGAAUUUGUACGUUCCAUCAUCACCCGACGCAGUUACAAAAGUAAAGAGAUAUUUUUCUGGUAUGUCGAUGUGCAGCGAGUUUACAGCUGCCUUGUGUUGACCUAACUGCUAGAGCUCACGUUGCUUCCCGGAAGCACAGGCUUCAAUGCUUGUGAUUGUUCGGUGAUCCCUUUAAUGCAUCUGCACUUCCUGCCUGUCAACUCAUCUUUGUUCAUCAGCUUUUCCCACUUAUGGCACCAAGGAGAAAAAAAAAGUAAGCAGAGCAAAACGGCAGUGAAAAAUUGGAGGCAUAGGACGAUGCAUGCGCUCUUAAAACACAGAUCACCUAUAAUGUGAACAUAUUUCUGAGGAGGUGUGUCCAGAUUUGUGCCAAAUUUAAGCGGUUUUGAAAUGGAACUUACUGGCUAAUGAUUCGAUCAUACAAUGUUAACUGUGCUUUUUAUUGCUCAAAAACAACAACAAAAUUCAUCCACACUGGAUGUCAAUUUGAAGCCUCUCUCCCCCUGGCUAUUCUUAAAAAAAAAAAGAAAAAGACCUCCCUUAUUGUUUGUUUGUUUUUUGCUAUACCCUUUAACGAAAAAUCUUUUGUUUUAUUUAAAAAAACAAAAAAAAAAAACAAGAAACAACUGAUUAACACUCCCACUCUCCUUGUUCUUUUUUUCCUAUUCCCCAGUGGUGAAAGAUCAGCCCAGAGAAAGGCCUUCAUGAGAGUAAUCGUGAGCCCGAUUGGAAGAAGACAUAAAGAUGAAUUAAUUGGGAGAUGAGAAAAACUCCGCUUUGGCUAAAUCUGUUCCAGGUCUUCUGGGAUCCUUUAAAAAGCCUAUGAACAAAGCUCCAGUGUCAGCAACAAACAAGUGUGGAAUCCAGUCCCACAGACCUUUGUGUUUGUUGCGUCUGAGGCUGGGCUAAAACUAAUUGAGUAAUAAAAUCUGCCGUAAGCAGACACGAACAAACUCCUCACAUCACUUCUCGCUAACCCACAACAAAGCCACUGAGAAACAAACUGUAUUUUCCAAACAGCCUGAACCACAUAUUCUUAUAUUUGACACUUUACACAACUGAAUGAAAAUAAUAAUAAUGAUAGUCAACCAUCCAAAGAUAAAACCAUCUUUCAUUACAUACAUAGCAUUGAAUUACAUUCUAGAGUUCUUAACAUCACGAGUUAAAUGAAAACAAAACAGCAAAAAUAAAGUCACACUUAAAAGUUUUCCACUAACAAUCGAAUCCACAUGGGAGGAUAAACACUGCCAUUUUCCAUUAGGAAAUGAUCAGUUUGAUCCACUGUUAUCAUAUCAAGAUAUUGGCACAGGUACACAGCUUAUGAAAACUUUUCUUGCUGUUUUUUUCCAAUAACAGAUUUAACUGUGGUUCAGUCAGAUUUUUCUCAGUGUUUGUCCACCCAUUCAAAAAAAUACAAUGAGAAAAAGUUGGCACUGAGUGGAGAAGCUCGAAUGAAUAGUGCUGUGAGGAACCUGGGGUUACAUUGCAACUGAAGCUGAACUUUUCCUUCAUAUAUUGUUAAUAAAUAAGAAAACUCAUUUACAUCCAUCAUAAAUCUUAAUUUUAGUAGCUAUGUUUUUGUCUUGAGUACCUAAAAACCUCUCAGUAUAUAUAGAAAAAAUAUAUUUGGUUCUACAUACUCAGUACAGAUAAAUCGGCUCCUUCUGUUUAAUUAGAUUUAUAAUAACCCAUCAUCUUUCUUUAUCAAAAUGAAGCUUAAAGUAGACUGCUCCAAUGAGCUUGGCUGAAUAACGAUUUUGAUAAAUCUGGGAUGUAAAGAGACUGGAUGAUGAUGAACACAGGCCCUUCAUCUAUAUGCAGAUGAGCUUCCUUUGUCAAUAAAUGAAAUGUAUUUUUCUUGCUCAGAAUAUCAGACUCAGUGUUCCAGAAAAACACAAAAUGUUUAUACUGGCUUACAAGCUUGUAAAAAGUCACUACAACAGAUCAGUCAGCAAUCAGACACCAACGCCUCAACUAUCUCAAGUGAGCAGUAAAAAUGUAAACGUCACUUCUGUAGGCAACAUUCAUCCUAUUUAUGUCACGAACGCUCUAGUGUCACACACUCUACUGCAAAUAGAACCUCAUCAGAAUUUGAAGCAGGGGCAUUAACAAGGAUUUUACUUGUGUUUUCAUGUCCACUGCGGUGAUCCAAGCUUAGAUUGACACAAAUGAGGAAUAUAAAAAACACAAUAAUUACAGAGGAAGUCACCGUCACAUGGUGUGCUGUUCAGAGCUUGGUUUAAUUCUCUGGGUGUAAAGAAGUAUAUUUCAUAAAUUCCGCAGCCUCCUGCUCUGUAUGUGAAACGUUAAUGCUCUAAAAACAACACUGACCUGGUUAAAAAUGUAUUUCACUUCCUUACAAAUCUUUAAGCCACAUAAAUAAAUACUCAAACUUCUCUUUCAUUUCUUAUCAGUAUAAUAUUACAACCUAACCUCUUAGUAUGAAUUAUUCCUCUAUACUCGGAACAACAUUACCACACUGACUACCUAAAUACCAAAAUAUCAAAAUGCACAUCCUCCAGUAAAAAAAAACAAAAAAAGACAAACAAACAAAAGCAACAUGAGACCAGCAGCUUCAGACAAACAUACAAAAAUACAGUCACUGAUUUUUAAGACAUCUAAUUUACCACCUUCAGCGCUUCGGUUUUCAGUAAGCCGAUUGCAGCAAAAGUAGUUUCAUGAAACGCUUCCAAAAAGCCAACAUUCAGGAUGCUGAUAUUCAUCUUGUAAUGUUUUGUACAGCACAGUUUAGAGUCUAAAUGCUGUUAUUUUAUCCUGAAAAUGCAAUCUAGCUUUCAACUCAGUUGGUCGAUCAUUCAGUCAUAUUGAGGAAUGUUUCUUUUUUGCAACACUACUGCAGGCCUGAGAAUUAUCUUGAAAUAAUCAGUAUCAAUUUCUAUCUCUGACUUCCAAUAAGAAAGCUAAAAUAAAGAGCAGAUAGAACUACUUAUAACUAUAUAACUGCUUGUGAGAAAAAGAGAAGAGGGCUUCGUUGCUCUCUGCCUCGAAAGAUUUCACCAACACUUUUAAGAGUUAAAUUAUUUAUAACAUCCACUAAACUGCACUCAGACUGGUGGUCAUCACGAUACAAUAUAAGUACUAUAGUGACAAAGCAAACCUCUCUGGACAUGCCCUGUCAGAGUACACAACCAAAAGUCUGUGUGGUGUUUACAUAGUAAACAUUACUCAUUUUUUUCCCCCUGUUACCAAAUUAAAUAAAAUUGCUAGCAAGGCAGUGAGAGAGGCUGCUCCGCCACACAGCACUCCCAGUCAAACUCAUCCCUAAUGGAGAAAUAAUGCUUUUUCUCAUGCCUCCCUCUGCAAGAGUCAGUGGUGAGGGUCAGCUUAAAUGCACCACUCCUGGACCUCAGAGUGAAAACCUUAUUCUGUUCAGUAGCAAUUCAGUAGAGUAGCAAACGUUUAAAAUUGAGGCUUUCCUCACAUUAUGAUCAACAGAGGAAAAUAAGCAUCGCAGGAGAUUAUUAUAUAUAUUUAUAUCUGGCUCUAAAUCAGCAUAUAUGGGUUGAGAAGCAACAGGAAUCGUCCUGAUAACAGGUCGACUGAUUUUAUAUUUUCAUCCAAAAGGUAUGAAAAAUGACUGUGUGUCAUUUUGAUCGGCAGCUGACCGCAUCUGGAUUAAAAGAUAUUUUUAAGCGCAGGGAUUAUCAGUCCAAUUCUAUAAAGUGCAUUUAUCAGACUUAGUCGACACAUUUUGCGGGGACAUCAACAGGAAAUCAAGAUUUUGCUGAACAUGGUCAUCACCAUUAUCAAGAGAACAAUCAUUAACGGAGUUCAUGCUAGAUUAUUGUGAGCCAUCAUGUUUGGGAUUCAGGAGGCAGGAUCGGGUCUGGUUAGAGUUCCCCAAUUUCACCUGGAAAAAAAAUCCCAUGAUGCUAACUUUUCCUACUGUGUAAUAAUUACAACAUACUCUUAAAACCUACGUCUGUAGAUUUAAGGUGAUGUCACAGAACUUAAAGAGAAUAAGAUAGCAACUGAUGCAAGCACUGAUCCUGUCUUUUCUGCAGGGGUAGCUCUUAUGCCUUUUUCAAGGGGGGUGGAUAACACGCAGUUGAAGUGCUGAAGCAAGCUCCGUGUUACUCUAUCGCCGCAUUAUACGGCAUAUUAAUGGGCUCCUCCCAAAUAAUAGCUCAACAAUAGGGCAGGUUAAUUUUUAACAACAGGUCAGGACACAGAUUAUUAAAAUUAAAUGAGUAGUUGUAGCAGUAGUGAUGCAGCAGUUUCAGAAGAAGAGGGGCGAAUUUUGUCUGACGUUAUAUUCAGAAGAUCUUAGAUGAUUUAUUCUUUCUCAUAUACAAAAACCUCUGAGCAAUAAUCUGAGAUUGUUGUUGUGUGCAUGUGUGUAUUUUUCCAUUUGGGAACCAAAGAAAAAAAUAUUUUCUUGUUUUGACUUGGAUGCAUACCACUAAGGAGACACGACAUCAGGUUUAUGACUUAAUAAACCUGUUCACCCCACACAAAAAGCAGCAAAAAAGUACAACAAAUGAUGGCACCAACAGUUAAUGUCCUUACCGAUUUAAAUCUGCAGCCAUGUCUUAAACAAACUGUACUCUAAACUGAGUAAGUAACACUGCAAAAAUAGGAAAUUAUCCCCCAUUUGUUGAUUAUUUGAAAUCAACAAAUGUCCUAAUUUCAUUCAAUAUAGAUUACAAAAUGCAAAGAAAAUUUUCAACUAAUCUCUCCACCCUCCUCCUGGUUCAAUUGUCCUCCACAGAGUAAAGAAUGAUGAAAAAGAACCAGAAAACAGUGUUUUGAUUUGAUUUAACAUGUGCACCUUGUGUACAGAUGGAUAAUAUUGCUUUUACACUGGAAAAUGUGGAGUAUUUAUAUAGAAAAUAUCCAAAACAAUAUAAAUAGUUUUACAUUUAAAUCUUUUUUUAAGAAACCACGUAUUUACCCACAACUGAGUAAGCUAGACCCUUCCUAACCCCUUUGGCACAAUAGUCAUAUUAAUAUUAUUAUAUUGUAUGUAUACAAGACAUCUGAAUAGGAAUGGUCACUCACACAUUCAGAGUAGUAACACAGUUUCUGUAGUCGUAACACAUAUUGGUACUGUAUGUUAUAAGAUAGCUCAAAAAGAUCUUUUUUCUUUUUCUUUUUUAACAUUUGCUGAUAUGUAAAUAAACGUACUUUCAUCUGAAACAAAACAGAACUGUCAUUGCAUGCCCUUAGUAUUUACAGAGUCAUUUUGUCUGAGUUUGUUCUUGCUGGCUACUGUAGAGCACAAAUUCGUAAGUAAACUCAAAAAGGAGGAACCAGACUGUGGACUAUCAUGAUGGACAACAAUGCAGCACUGAUUUUUGGUGUGUUGUGUUUAUCAACGGUCCAAUUAGUAAUCGCUUUAAUGGUAUGUGCACACUGUAUACACGCCACAUGAAGAUAAAAUGUAUUUAAAAAACUGCUCGUGUUGUGUAUGAAAACCUCCUGGUUUUAAUUUUUUUUUGUAUUUGUGUUUUUUGCUUUGCUUUGCAACAACUGAUUUUCUCGGUUGAAGGAGCUGAAACAAAGCCAAGGCCUUGUUUCUCAAAAGCAUCUUAGUAAAUAUAUUCAGUGGCACAUUUUUCCUCCAGGUACAGGCGUUGGCACAUAUAUAAGAACACUCUAUUUAAAGGCAUACCCAAAAUCUUAAAAAGCCAAAUCUAAUCUCCUACAAAUAUAUGAACUACCGUUGCCAAACACUUUGAGUUCACUCACAUUUUCCUCAGUCUAGGAUAUAUGGCAUGAAGCCAGACUCUAAAGACUAAACCGAUGGACUUAAAUUCUUACUGAAGUGAGAAUACUGACGGCAUGAAGCUACAGGCGGUAAAGAAACAACUAGCCUUAUUGUCUUGGUCUUAAUUCAAUAAUUAAAAUGUCAAAUCUCAAAAACACAUUGCUAUUUCGUAGGGGAUCAUUUGCAUCUUGCUUCUAUUUAACCAUGACUUCCUGAAGUAUUGUCAUCACCACACGGUUGCCAGGCAACUAACAGAGACUUCCUACAUUUACCUGACAGAUAAAGCAUGAGAGUGGUAUCGAUUGCCUGCUCUUGUAACCGCAGCCAAUUUUCCACAAUAAGGAAGUAUUCCUUUAAGUCAAUACUACUUGAGGUCUGGGUAAUUUUCAAGUCUGUGUUUUCCUGGAUCUGCAUCACUGACAUUUUUAUUUGGCUAUACUGGAUGUCAGUCAUCAUCAACAGUCAACCAGUAUGGUCUUGUGAGACUAACAGUAAUGUGGCAGCAGUGUAUUAAGUAAACCUAACAUUUAAAAAAAUCUACCUAAUGCUCAAUUUUUGUGAACAUCUUUGGUUGUUCUGCCACCUUUGUUUAAAAAAUAAAAUAAAAAUCAUAGCACCUGAGCAACAGAUGGACC
Molecule: long non-coding RNA, 6963 nt
Organism: Astatotilapia calliptera (eastern happy)
Lineage: Eukaryota; Metazoa; Chordata; Actinopteri; Cichliformes; Cichlidae
Source: Ensembl